RNAcentral lists this ribosomal RNA (253 nucleotides) under uncultured bacterium. RNAcentral's name for it is "partial 16S ribosomal RNA". It matches the Rfam family "Bacterial small subunit ribosomal RNA", at positions 524 to 776 of the family's 1533-position model. The record is from RNAcentral.
UACGUAGGUGGCAAGCGUUGUCCGGAUUUAUUGGGUUUAAAGGGUGCGUAGGCGGUUUCAUAAGUCAGUGGUGAAAUACGGCAGCUCAACUGUCGAGGUGCCAUUGAUACUGCGGAACUUGAGUACUGAUGAGGUAGGCGGAAUUGACGGUGUAGCGGUGAAAUGCUUAGAUAUCGUCAAGAACACCGAUAGCGAAGGCAGCUUACCAAGCAGUAACUGACGCUGAGGCACGAAAGUGCGGGGAUCAAACAGG